This is a small nuclear RNA of Manis pentadactyla (Chinese pangolin), 106 nucleotides long. The record is from RefSeq and is a predicted model, not a curated record. Lineage: Eukaryota; Metazoa; Chordata; Mammalia; Pholidota; Manidae.
GUGCUCGCAUCUGCGGCACAUAUACUAUAACUGGAAUCAUACAAGAAGAUUAGCAUGGCCAGUGCAUGAGGGUGAUACAUAAAUUAGUUAAACAGUCCACUUAAGA